CCUACGGGAGGCAGCAGUGAGGAAUAUUGGUCAAUGGGUGCAAGCCUGAACCAGCCAUCCCGCGUGAAGGACGACUGCCCUAUGGGUUGUAAACUUCUUUUGUAUAGGGAUAAACCUACCCUCGUGAGGGUAGCUGAAGGUACUAUACGAAUAAGCACCGGCUAACUCCGUGCCAGCAGCCGCGGUAAU
This 189-nucleotide ribosomal RNA is filed under the name uncultured bacterium. RNAcentral's name for it is "partial 16S ribosomal RNA". It matches the Rfam family "Bacterial small subunit ribosomal RNA", at positions 338 to 524 of the family's 1533-position model. The record is from RNAcentral.